GGAUGUGUGGAUGAGGCCACUGUAGUGCAGUGGAGCAACUGGGGGGAAAAAAAAGCCCUGUACAGAUACUGUAUUUUUUGCAAAGUGAAGGUUUGUGGUGAACUCAGUGAACUCUGUGUCCAGCAAGUCUGUUGGUGCCAUUUGCCCCACGGUGUGUCUCCAUGUCACAGAUGUUUUAUUGGGUUAUAAUAUACACAGAGAAGACAACCCACAACCUAGGAGCACAGUGGAUUUUCAUAAACGGAGCUACCCUGGCAACUGGCCCCCAGAUGGAGAAGAAGCAAGGCAUCAUCAGCGCCCAGAGAGCCCCUCGCUCGAGGCCUCCACUUGAGCGUAUACAAUUUUAAGUUUCUCUUGCUUAUAAUUUACCCAAGGUUUUCUAAGUUGCAAAUGUAUUCCUCUUUUCCCCACUGAGUUGUCACAUACAAAUCAAGAGAGGGAAAGAGCUUGUCUGAUCCUCUGGGUAAUAAUAAGCAGUGCCUUUCUGGAAUUCUUGGAUCUGGGCUUCUGGUAGUGUCCUAUGGAGCCUGGGAGAUUCGUCGAUACCUUGUUAAAAUGGGGCUCAUUUUUAUUUGUGUCCCUCCAGAAGCUCAAAUCCUUCUCCUUUACAUAUUUCAAACGAUAAAAACCCAGUUUCCCCAAAGUCAUCCAAGUGGCAUGGGUUUAUCUAAUUCAUACCCUAGUUUGUGAAAACACCAUGGAACCAACUUUAUAAAUGUUAAGCAGUUGUGGCCUUGGGGUACAGAGGAAAGUGGUGGAAGAAUGAUGCUCGGGGCAAACAUUCUUGUCCCGAGGCUUCUAGGGGUAAAUGGUCUCUCCUCCCCAACCUCUCUGUUUCCCAGUGAGUCUUGUUUGAAGGCCUAUAGCUGGACUUCCCUUCCC
Nyctereutes procyonoides (raccoon dog) is the source of this 882-nucleotide long non-coding RNA. RefSeq lists it as uncharacterized. The transcript is spliced from 3 exons. NCBI's taxonomy places the organism in Eukaryota, Metazoa, Chordata, Mammalia, Carnivora, Canidae. The record is from RefSeq and is a predicted model, not a curated record.